Molecule: long non-coding RNA, 501 nt
Organism: Silurus meridionalis
Lineage: Eukaryota; Metazoa; Chordata; Actinopteri; Siluriformes; Siluridae
Exons: 3
Source: RefSeq, a predicted model, not a curated record
CUGUCGCGUCGGCAGGAAGGCGGCGCACUCGGCCCCUCCGUUCCCCUCAAACCGCGGGUCCACCCCGCCGUACAUCCAGUCCAGCAGGCUGUAGACGCUGUAGCGGGACAUGUUCCGGUUCCUCCCGUGCUGGAACAGAAGUGAGCCGGUCUGUCGACUGCACACCUGUUCAGGAAGAGAAGAGGGAAAUAAAUAUAAAAGGUCUACCACUGACAUCAUCAACAUGCGCCAGGAGCAACAGCGCCAGACAAACCACAUAUGCUAUCGCACAACCCAUUAAUUAUACAGGUUAUUAAAAUUGUAUAAAUAUUUCUUUUCUGAAAUUAACUGAUACGUUUUUCCUCUUAUAUAUAUCUUAUAUAUCCUCUUUAUAGAACUUUUGCGUCCAGGAUCAUUUCAAACAUAAUUAUUUGUUGUUUUUGUUUAAACAUUAACCUGAAUAACUGUUUCACACCACGAGGAUCUUUCAGCAUAAUAAAAGAGAAAAAUAAAAUCCAUCAA